AUUUUUCUAAUAUAAUAAGUAUAAUUGACUUCCAAUCAAUAAGUCUGGACCUCCAGGAAAAAUA
This 64-nucleotide transfer RNA is filed under the name Typhlopatsa pauliani. Its description in RNAcentral is "tRNA-Gly". The record is from RNAcentral. Lineage: Eukaryota; Metazoa; Arthropoda; Malacostraca; Decapoda; Atyidae.